UACGGAGGGUGCAAGCGUUACCCGGAUUUACUGGGUGUAAAGGGUCCGCAGGCGGUUAAGCAAGUCAGUUUUUAAAUCCUCUGGCUCAACCAGAGAAUUGGAACUGAUACUGCUUAACUAUGAGUCCAGAGGGGGGAAACGGAACUGCCGGUGUAGCGGUGAAAUGCGUAGAUAUCGGCAGGAACACCCGUGGCGAAGGCGGUUUCCUACUCUUGUACUGACGCUCAGGGACGAAAGCGUGGGGAGCGAUCGGG
RNAcentral lists this ribosomal RNA (254 nucleotides) under uncultured bacterium. RNAcentral's name for it is "partial 16S ribosomal RNA". It matches the Rfam family "Bacterial small subunit ribosomal RNA", at positions 524 to 776 of the family's 1533-position model. The record is from RNAcentral.